Molecule: long non-coding RNA, 495 nt
Organism: Lagenorhynchus albirostris (white-beaked dolphin)
Lineage: Eukaryota; Metazoa; Chordata; Mammalia; Artiodactyla; Delphinidae
Exons: 3
Source: RefSeq, a predicted model, not a curated record
UGGGGAGUGGUAGGUACAGCUUGUGCAUAAAUUGUGUCCAGACAUCUGAGCAUAACUGGGGAAGCACGCCUACCUGAAUUUAUUACAUGAGCGACAUGGGAGCCUCCUGGGAAGAAACCCUCAUCUCAAAGGAAGAGAGAAUUAGACAAGGUUGACCCAGUAACCAAUCUUGAGUCACAGUGGGAUUCUCUCCUGGCAACCAUUCAUUUGCCCUUGACCAGGAUUUCUGUGAAAGAAAAGCUUUGUCAGGGACCUCAGAAGACAAAGUGCAGCAUUUCCCCAAGAUGGGACACCUCGUGGGAGACCCUCCCUCCACGCUGGGACUCCAAAGGCCAUUCUUCAGAGUAAGGCUGAAGGCCUUAAUAGAAAAAGGCUGAUGGCCCUGGAAGAGGAGAGCGGCUUGCGGCAAACUGCCUUCGGACUCCAACUGCAACGCUUCCCUGCGUCUCCGUCUUGCUGCCUACCCUGCAGAUCUCGGACUUACCAGGCCUCUAC